UUUAUGAUUAAGAGGAAUGAGGAUUAUCGAUUAAACUAACGUUCUUCAGUAUUGAACCCUUAGAAUUAAAGGUCAAAUGAAGAAAGAGGUUUCCUUACCCUGGGAGUUGUUUUCUUCUCUUUCACUGGAAGUUUUCCUUUUCUAUUAUGUUCCUUGACAUUUUAGAGUUUUUUAUUUGACUGCUACUCUUGAUGUUAGUGUGGGGAGAUUUGCCAUUAAAUAAUAAAUUAUUGUCCAUUUAGCUUUAGCAGUUUUAUACAUCGUUUCACUGCAGAAUUUAACCUAAAUCUAGUUGUAAAUAACAUAGAGUUAACUACUGGCAUUUGUAAAGAAUUUUUUGUUUCUGUGGCUGAGAACUUAUUUGCAGAUGUGACUUCUCCUAGAGAACUGAGUACUGCAGUUGUGAUUUUUAUUUUAAUAUAUUCUCCAUAAUACCUAAAAAUCUGUUACUCAAUACAGAGUGUUUCCUAAAAUACUUGUACAGUAUUCUUCCCCUAUCUCAGAAUGCAACAUGAGAUGCUUGGCGGCCAAUUGUAAUGGGAAAUCUAUAAAUCAACAGAGAAAGACAUAAGACACAAGAAUUUGGACUUGGAAAAUAUUUUGUGUUCUGAAAAGUACGUUUCUAAAAGAUGGAAAUUAAAAUCACAAAGGAUUUUUCUUAAUUUGCCUAUAACAGACUGCGUUCAGACCAGUGAGAUAAAGGAAUUAGAAAAAAAAUACUGUUCAUCAGGAAAAAGUCACAUUCUCUGGGUGAAACUCCUAUUUUGUUACACAGUCUUUGUGUAAGUAUGCUCUAUGUUGCCAAAGUAAUGGGGUAGAGAAGUUGUCUUAAUUUGUCUUUGUAGGUUGCCAGGCAUACCGUGACCUCUACAGUCAAUGGUUUGACAACAUAAAGACUCUGGCUCCAUUCCUUGCAUGUUGACCAGUACAGCUGAGCAGUAACUAGUUUAGUUUGUUGCUGGGAUGGGCUAGCAACAUGCUAUGAUAAUCUCUUUCUUUUCCACCUGUCUUCAAGAAAAGUCACAGUGCAUUUCAAAACAGCUUAUUCUAGAGAAGUUAGUCCUUUGGGGCUAGAAUUUUUCAGCCUGUCUCUUCAUGCAUCUUUCCAUGAGCACUAUCAACAGCAGCCAUGAAGGAAAAGAACAACAUUCAUGAAAAACUGAUUUCACUUCACUUUGAUCUUAGUAGAGCUGGUAAUGGUGAAUGAUUUGGCAAAGCUUACUGUCUAUCUGUGUCUAAUACACAACAGUAGCCUGCACAGAAAGGAUACUUAUAACCUGUCCAGUCUCCUGAAUUCAAUGUUUUCAUGAAGUUUAUAAGAAUUAAGUGUGAGCACAUUGUGAAUGAUCUAUUUUAAAUACAUUCCACAAUUAAUAGCUACAAAGCCUAAAGGUGUAUCUGUAGAAAACACUGAUUUCCUGUCCUGGUUCCAGCUGGGACAGAGUUAACCUUCUUCUCCAUAGCAUAGCAGGUGCAGCUGUGCUGUGGCUGUGCUGUGCGAGCAAUGCUGACAGCACACGGGUGGGUUUGGCUGUGCCCGGGUGGUGUCUAUCCUCAGUCAGGGACUUCUCAGUGUCUCAGGCCCGGCCAGCGAGAGGGCUGGGGGGGCACGGGGAGCUGGGAGGGGACACAGCCGGGACAGCUGGCCCAGGCUGCCCAAAGGGAUAUUCCAUACCGUAGAACAUCACACCGAGUAUACAAACUGGGGGAAGGUGGCCGGGGCCUGUGGGUCACUGCGCAGAGACUGGCUCUGCAUUGGUCAGCCAGUGGUGCGCAAUUGUACUGUGCAUCACUUGUUUUGUAUUUUCUCUUCCUUUUGGAUUUAAUUCCUCACCCCUUCUCCCUCCUUUUCAUUAUAGCUGUUGUUGUUAUUAUUAUUGUUGUUGUUGUUGUUAUUGUGGUUUUAUAUUAUUUCAAUAAUUAAAUUAUUCUUAUCUGAACCCUUGAGUUUUACAUUCCUUUCCGAUUCUCCUCUCCAUCCUUCUGGGUGAUGGGGGAGUCAGCGAGCGGCUGUGUGGUGCUGAGUUGCUGGCUGGGGUUAAACAUUUCCCCAGAACAGGAUUCCUUCAUCCCCAGAUUUAAUUCCUAUUUAUUCUGCUAGUGCUCAUCAACUCUGCCUACAGCUAUUCAAGCUAUUAAUUAGAUAGAUUUCACACAAACAUAUGCUCUUGCAUGUACCAGGAUUUUUCCUGCUUUAAUCAUAACAAUAAGCAGAAAACAAAGGACAAAAUAGAAGUUCUGCAGAGAGGAAUGGAAGGCUUUAUCUGAUCUGCAAUGCAUAAAUUUGGUCUCAAAGUACAUGACAGGUAGGUAAGUGUCAGGUGCUACUAGGUGCAGAAUUGUUGUCUUUCUAACUGAGGUCUUUUCUUGUUGGUUGAAAACAUAAGGAAGAUUUACCACUGAAUUUAACAUCUUGUUCCACCUUCGAAGCCUUGGCUUCAGUUCUGCUGCUUAUGGUCUACACAGACAGCUGAUACCCAUCUAGUGCACUAAGGCUUGGCAAUGUUUGUGAGGAACUUGCAUUGCAUUUUAAUAUCUCUGAUCCCUCAGUCAUGAAUGAGGCAGCAUUUGAAUGAAGCUGUUCAUGACAUUUUAACUGAUAUCUCUUCAUACAGAACAACAUCUCACAGCUGCAGGUGCUCUGACAAACAGGCUAUACUGACAGUCAGUAGCAUAUCUCAGUCACUAUUCAGGAUUCAUACCCGCAGGAAGAACUGCUGUAAUUUGAAAACAGCCAGUUUAGCUUUGGUCAGGAUCUAUGUUUAGUUCAUUAUCAGUUUCCUAUAUUCUCUGAGAAUAAAUAAAGCUUUGCAUACGUGACGAUUAAGCUUUUCUUGAAUUGUAUCUGUACUCCAGUGAGGGCUGCUAACAUUUAUGAUUCUUUUUCAUGAUUUUUUGUAUAUGUCCAAUAGAUACAUAAACAUACUAUAUGCAUAUAUAUACUCUAUGUUAACAGCAGUAAAUUUAGCUUUUUGGAAAACAGAUAUGUUAUGCUAAGACUGAAAAUAACACGUAACAGUAAAAAGUCACUGACAAUGUAGGUAGAAAUUGGGAUCUAUUUUACUUUGUUUUAACAGCAUAGUGAGAAAAUCUACUGAAAUUUAUAGCUCUGUUUUUUAUAGGCCAAGUGCCUGCAGGUCUUGUUGAUUACUUCUGGGGUGGAUAUUCAGCACUCCUGAAAACCUGGCUUUGAGUGGCUUCCACAGAUAUCUUUAAAAUAGCCAUUGCUUGUUUGGCAAGAACAUGAAUAUGAGCAAAGUAUUGGCCAUCAGCUCAUAGAUCCCCGAAGAAAACAUUCUGUUAUGUAUUGUCCUAUAAUUCUGCAGGAGCUGUUAAUGAACAAACACUACUCCUUCCAGACCUCUGCUGUUAUCACUGAUGAUGCUUUUGCACAAAUGGAUUUUGGUGUGCUAAGGAGCUAUGUAAAUUGAAGAUCUUUUUUGAAACAAGAGUAGUUUAGUUUCUCCCAGUCUUAAUUUUGUUUCCUUCCAGGCUGCUUGCCUUAACUGUAUAAAAAAACCCCAAACAACAAACAUAAUUAAGAUAAACUUACUUAAAUGGUGUGUGCAUGGAAAGGAAAGCAAAAUUGGAAGGGAAAUACUGUCUGAAACUUUUAAUCAGAAUGUAUCAAAAUUGUAUCAAAGUCAGUAUAUAUUAUGUCUGAUUUGAAGACCAUUAAAAUCUAUGACAUAUUUCUGGGUCACAUAUACAAAGCAUACUGCCUUACACUAGAUUAUGUUAUCCCUUCUUUCAGUGGAAAUGAAAUUUUGGAUUUCCUUUUAGAAGAAUACUGACAGGGGAAAAUCUUUAGUCUGUCAUAUCUCUGCUAAUGGCUAUAAAUCCAAAUCUAAGGUGAGACACUUCAGAUAUGCUAGUUAUAACUCGUUAAAUUUGCAGGGAAGGAGGGUGACCUUUCAAAAGGGCAUGGAAAACAGGAAUAAUUUCAAUGCACUGUGGAAGAGGCUCAUUGCCGUGCAUGUUUGGGCUGCAAUUACAGAGAUUUUUUUCCAAUGGUUCCCAUAAUUCUUUUUUCUGACUGCCAGACUGGCACAUGAAAUCUGCACUCAGGCUUUCUGCUGGAAAGCACACAGGAACAGCGCAGCCCUGUAGUAUGAGGCCAGCCAUGUGAAUCGUGAAGCUCAAGAAACGUUCAGCAGCUAGGGAAUGCUGUCUGCAUGCUGAAUUGUACAUGAAGAAUAGGUGGGUUUGGCCUAGUUUUAGUUUCACCUUCUGCCUCUGAUGUUACCCCUGCAAGCCACCAUCAAAGUUCUCUGUGCUUUGACAUUUGGGAUUUUAGAGCAGAUUUCUUCUGAUGAAGUUUGACUAAGGAGCGUUCCCUCAUUGCAGUCCAGUUUUUCAUGUUACAAGAUGGGAAGUGAAAUGUUGCCAAUCACUAGAGCGCACAGCAUGGCUUUCUUGUUGAAUUUCGCUAGCUUGGUUUUGGCUACAAGGUGAAGCUCAGAUCUACUGUUUCCUCCUGCCUUUAAGAAUAGGUAUCUGUGUAGGUAGAUACCUAUAUAGGUAUGCAGAUAUAGCAAUAGGUACUGCAACUGCAUUGGCUCUUAGUUGAAAUGCAUUCAGUAGAAAAUUCUACAGGGGACAAGAAAAGCUUUCCGGUGACAUGAUAGACGUAGAAGCCCUUUAACAUUUUACACCCCUUUCUGUUUGCUUGUUUAAAAGGGAUUAAUCUUGUGUUUCACCCUCAAGGAGAAGGUCACUCAACACAAACUCUUUGGUUUGAAAGAAACUUCAAGGGAAUGAAGUAGCACCAGAGAUAAUCUGUAGAUUUGAGGAAUCACAGUUAAAAGUGUCUCCUGAUGAUCACUGCUGGCAAUGAAGGCAAACGGUGUACACAGCCGUGACUGAAAGAUACGAAUGACUGGCAGUAGCGCUGCUCUGUAGAGCGGAUCAUAUGCUUUUACCAGGCUUACUGACAAUGGCUUGCUGCAACAAGCUGUUUGUACUGCAGCAUGUAGCCUGCCGGCUGUCAUCUUCAUGUAUUCACACUGACACUUCAAGGUCAUCUAGAAGCUGAAGUAAGAGUUCAAACAUUUAUCCUGUGAGACACUAUUUAAGUGAGCUAACCUAUUUAAGUUAAAUAGGUUACAGUUUUAAUGGCUAUUUUCCCAGAGCUGCUGUACAGAGGCAGGUCUAAAGAGGCUUUCUAGGUUACCAGUUUCUUCAGUUUUUAGCAGUAUCCACUGUUACACAAAGGCAAUGCUGCGUCUCAAGCAAGGAGAAUUUGUCAAAAGAGAAUUUUCCCCUCCCCAUCACUGCCUGAAAUAUUUAAAGAUGCCCUCUCUGUGAAUGCAAUAGUCAUUUGCUCACUUUGGAUUCCUGUCAGCCUUGCUUCCUCAGUCCACCGUGAAGCAGCAGCUUUGCUGAAGGACUGACAUUCUGAGCCUUGGCCUACCCCACCACUUUCUUGUAUGUCUUUACUGGUGUCGUUUCACUUGUACUGUGUUUCCUACCCCACAAACUCUCCAUUUACUUUUGUUUUGCUUCUUUUCCCUGGUCUGUUUCUGCUCCUGAUAUUCCUUACAUUUUUCUGCCCAUCUUUGUGUCCCUGUAUUCUCUGGCUGGAACUUCCUUUUACAGAGACUCUUUGCCCUGGAUAGGUCCUGUAUCUGCCAUGUGUCAUAAUCAUCACUGUGAUAGAUAGUAAACUGUUUGUUCAUCAAUUUCAGUUAAAAGACAAUGGAGAAGGAGGUUGCCACAUAAACUAUGUAAGGCUAACUGCAAGGCUAACUAUAUUGCUACAUUGUGUAAGAUUAACCGCAAGCGCUCAACUAACCAAAUGUGGUAAAGCAAGAUAACAUUGUGUGGGGGUCAAGGAAGCAAGGAAAAAGGGAGUACAGAAGUACGAGGCGAGGAAUUUGUGACGUGAGGAAGACAAGGAGCCUUCAUCCCCACGACCACCAGGAGGCUGAAGAAGACAAUGAACGACCCCCUAGCAACCUAGCAAGGAGCGGCGCAGACGCAGAGUACACCGCUAAAGGAGACACGUAUACAGGAAGACGAAGGUGCACAGGGCCAGAGCAGUUUGUUGUUCCCAUAGACACCAAAGGGAAGAGGUGGUGGAGGUGCUGCUGGGACCAGAAGGCUGAAAACUUGAAGUGGACUGGUUGAAAGACUUCUUACUACAUCUGCAAGAUACCUUUGCUUCUUUGCAUACCCCCUAGCAAAUCCUUUGUACUCCUUGAAGCUAUUGUUAUUUGCCUUCAUUGUGAUAAAGCCUGUCUUUAGAUUUCACUCUCAAAGCUGUGGGUGAGGUUCUGUUCUCAGUACACAAUAUGUGUUCAGACAGUAUAUAAUCCCCUUGGCACCCUAGAACUGUCCAGUUUGUGGAAACCAUCAUGCUUUUUGUUUUUAGUGUAUAGCUCAGUUUAGCUGCUUUUGCUGUAUGAAGUUAUUUGUUCCUGUCCUACAGUCUGAAUGCAUUUACAUUACUAAUGCAUAAGAAUUUUCAUGAACCACAUGCUCUCUGGCAUUCAUUGUACAUGCCCCACAUUUGACUUGAAAGCCUUUUCACCUCUGAGGUGAAUCGUUGUAUGCUUGAGAGAAAAAUAUUACAUUGCUGCUGGUUAAAACCUCUGGGAAAAAAAUCCUGUGGAGAAGUUCAUGAGUGCUUUUAUUUGUAUAGGAAUAAAUGAUUUUAAAGUGUGA
Molecule: long non-coding RNA, 6666 nt
Organism: Falco peregrinus (peregrine falcon)
Lineage: Eukaryota; Metazoa; Chordata; Aves; Falconiformes; Falconidae
Exons: 2
Source: RefSeq, a predicted model, not a curated record